UACGUAGGGUGCAAGCGUUAUCCGGAAUUAUUGGGCGUAAAGAGCUCGUAGGCGGUUUGUCGCGUCUGCUGUGAAAACUCGAGGCUCAACCUCGAGACGUCGGUUGAAACCGUAUGGCUAGAGUCCGGAAGAGGAGAGUGGAAUUCCCGGUGUAGCGGUGAAAUGCGCAGAUAUCGGGAAGAACACCCGUGGCGAAGGCGGCUCUCUGGGACGGUACUGACGCUGAGACGCGAAAGCGUGGGGAGCGAACAGG
Molecule: ribosomal RNA, 253 nt
Filed under: uncultured bacterium
Lineage: Bacteria
Description: partial 16S ribosomal RNA
Rfam family: Bacterial small subunit ribosomal RNA
Source: RNAcentral